Molecule: long non-coding RNA, 305 nt
Filed under: Ananas comosus (pineapple)
Lineage: Eukaryota; Viridiplantae; Streptophyta; Magnoliopsida; Poales; Bromeliaceae
Description: long non-coding RNA (ACOM_LNC034153)
Source: RNAcentral
GAGCCGUUUUCGAUGAUGGAGCGUCCGAAUCGACGAUCGGCUCCGUUAGAUUUGAUCUAGCGUAUUUAAGGUUUCUAGAAAAUAAUUUUUGCGAUUUUUUCAUAUCAUUUACCAAGCAAUCGAAAGAAUUCAAAAUCAAUAUUUUUUUACGGCUGAAAAUAAAAAUUCUAUAAAAAGUGAUGAUAUAACACUAAAAUUUUCGAUCAGAAAUAUUGAUCUUGUUAUAGAUAGUAUAAAGAAUUUUAUAUCAAAAUUUUAUUUGAUUUGAAUACUUCUUCACCGUUAAACUUGAAAACGUCAGAUGU